AUUGAACGCUGGCGGCAUGCUUUACACAUGCAAGUCGGACGGCAGCACAGAGAAGCUUGCUUCUUGGGUGGCGAGUGGCGAACGGGUGAGUAAUAUAUCGGAACGUACCGAGUAAUGGGGGAUAACUAAUCGAAAGAUUACCUAAUACCGCAUAUUCCCUGAGGAGGAAAGCAGGGGACCUUCGGGCCUUGCGUUAUUCGAGCGGCCGAUAUCUGAUUAGCUAGUUGGUGGGGUAAAGGCCUACCAAGGCGACGAUCAGUAGCGGGUCUGAGAGGAUGAUCCGCCACACUGGGACUGAGACACGGCCCAGACUCCUACGGGAGGCAGCAGUGGGGAAUUUUGGACAAUGGGCGCAAGCCUGAUCCAGCCAUGCCGCGUGUCUGAAGAAGGCCUUCGGGUUGUAAAGGACUUUUGUCAGGGAAGAAAAGGCUGUUGCUAAUACCGACAGCUGAUGACGGUACCUGAAGAAUAAGCACCGGCUAACUACGUG
This 490-nucleotide ribosomal RNA is filed under the name uncultured bacterium. RNAcentral describes it as "partial 16S ribosomal RNA". It matches the Rfam family "Bacterial small subunit ribosomal RNA", at positions 30 to 507 of the family's 1533-position model. The record is from RNAcentral.